AUUGAACGCUGGCGGCAUGCUUUACACAUGCAAGUCGAACGGCAGCACGGAGAGCUUGCUCUCUGGUGGCGAGUGGCGAACGGGUGAGUAAUAUAUCGGAACGUGUCCAAUAAUGGGGGAUAACUAGUCGAAAGAUUAGCUAAUACCGCAUACGCCCUGAGGGGGAAAGUGGGGGAUCUUCGGACCUCACGUUAAUGGAGCGGCCGAUAUCUGAUUAGCUAGUUGGUAGGGUAAAAGCCUACCAAGGCGACGAUCAGUAGCUGGUCUGAGAGGAUGAUCAGCCACACUGGGACUGAGACACGGCCCAGACUCCUACGGGAGGCAGCAGUGGGGAAUUUUGGACAAUGGGCGCAAGCCUGAUCCAGCCAUGCCGCGUGAGUGAAGAAGGCCUUCGGGUUGUAAAGCUCUUUCGCAAGGAAAGAAAACUUACAUGUAAAUAAUGUGUGAGGUUG
Molecule: ribosomal RNA, 452 nt
Filed under: uncultured bacterium
Lineage: Bacteria
Description: bacterial SSU rRNA
Rfam family: Bacterial small subunit ribosomal RNA
Source: RNAcentral